GAUGAAGAACGUAGCAAAAUGCGAUAAGUAAUGUGAAUUGCAGAAUUCAGUGAAUCAUCGAAUCUUUGAACGCACAUUGCGCCCGCCAGUAUUCUGGCGGGCAUGCCUGUUCGAGCGUCAUUUCAACCCUCAAGCACAGCUUGGUGUUGGGACUCGCGUUAUUUCGCGUUCCCCAAAUUGAUUGGCGGUCACGUCGAGCUUCCAUAGCGUAGUAGUAAAACCCUCGUUACUGGUAAUCGUCGCGGCCACGCCGUUAAACCCCAACUUCUGAAUGUUGACCUCGGAUCAGGUAGGAAUACCCGCUGAACUUAAGCAUAUCAAUAAGCGGAGGA
This 332-nucleotide unclassified non-coding RNA is filed under the name soil metagenome. RNAcentral's name for it is "partial contains 5.8S ribosomal RNA, internal transcribed spacer 2, and large subunit ribosomal RNA". The stretch from base 1 to 120 matches the Rfam family "5.8S ribosomal RNA", at positions 35 to 154 of the family's 154-position model. The record is from RNAcentral.